UGAGCUGGCUGGGCGGCCGCGCAUCAUCUAUAAGCCGGAUGGGAGAUUACGGUGGAGGAUGGUUCGAGGAAAGUCCGGACUUCACAGAGCAGGGUGAUUGCUAACGGCAAUCCGAGGUGACUCGCGGGAAAGUGCCACAGAAAUCAGACCGCC
Molecule: RNase P RNA, 153 nt
Filed under: Actinomycetes bacterium
Lineage: Bacteria; Bacillati; Actinomycetota; Actinomycetes
Description: partial RNase P RNA component class A
Rfam family: Bacterial RNase P class A
About the family: Ribonuclease P (RNase P) is a ubiquitous endoribonuclease, found in archaea, bacteria and eukarya as well as chloroplasts and mitochondria. Its best characterised activity is the generation of mature 5'-ends of tRNAs by cleaving the 5'-leader elements of precursor-tRNAs.
Source: RNAcentral